CUUACGGGAGGCAGCAGUAAGGAAUAUUGGUCAAUGAACGAAAGUCUGAACCAGCCAUGCCGCGUGCAGGAUGACAGCCCUACGGGUUGUAAACUGCUUUUAUAUGGGAAGAAUCCCCUGUACGUGUACAGGGUUGACGGUACCGUAUGAAUAAGCAUCGGCUAACUCCGUGCCAGCAGCCGCGGUAAUACGGAGGAUGCAAGCGUUAUCCGGAUUCAUUGGGUUUAAAGGGUGCGUAGGCGGAAUGAUAAGUUAGUGGUGAAAUCCCUCGGCUCAACCGAGGAACUCCCAUUAAUACUGUCAUUCUUGAGUAUAGUUGAAGUGGGCGGAAUGUAUCAUGUAGCGGUGAAAUGCUUAGAUAUGAUACAGAACACCAAUAGCGUAGGCAGCUUGCUAAGCUAUAACUGACGCUCAGGCACGAAAGCGUGGGGAGCAAACAGGAUUAGAUACCCUGGUAGUCCACGCCGUAAACGAUGAUCACUCGCUGUUGGCGAUACACAGUCAGCGGCUUAGGGAAACCUUUAAGUGAUCCACCUGGGGAGUACGGUCGCAAGAUUGAAACUCAAAGGAAUUGACGG
Molecule: ribosomal RNA, 578 nt
Filed under: uncultured bacterium
Lineage: Bacteria
Description: bacterial SSU rRNA
Rfam family: Bacterial small subunit ribosomal RNA
Source: RNAcentral